Ipomoea nil (Japanese morning glory) is the source of this 82-nucleotide transfer RNA. It matches the Rfam family "tRNA". From Rfam's summary of the family: Transfer RNA (tRNA) molecules are approximately 80 nucleotides in length. Their secondary structure includes four short double-helical elements and three loops (D, anti-codon, and T loops). NCBI's taxonomy places the organism in Eukaryota, Viridiplantae, Streptophyta, Magnoliopsida, Solanales, Convolvulaceae. The record is from Rfam.
GUGGGCGUGUUGGAGUGGUUAUCGGGCAUGAAUAGAAAUCAUGUGGGCUUUGCCCGCGCAGGUUCAAAUCCUACUGAUCACG